UUAUUGGAUUGUGGUGUAAGCGUGUGGCCCGUGGCAUAGGUAAAUCCGUGUCGCAUAUUUGGGUGAGGCGUGAUGCGUAGACCUUUGUGGUUGAUGUUGGUGAUCCUGUACUGUCGAGAAAAGCCUCUAGCGAGUGCAUAUAUGGCCCGUACCCAUAACCGACACAGGUGGUCAGGUAGAGAAUACUAAGGCGAUCGGGUGAACUGUGGUUAAGGAACUCGGCAAAUUGCCCCCGUAACUUCGGGAGAAGGGGGACCAUUGCUGGUGACCGACGUGGUUGAGCUGGUGGUGGUCGCAGAGAAUAGAGGGAAGCGACUGUUUAUUAAAAACACAGGUCCGUGCGAAAACGUGGAAGUUGAUGUAUACGGACUGACGCCUGCCCGGUGCUGGAAGGUUAAGAGGACCUGUUAGGGCAUUUUUUGUCCGAAGCGGAGAAUUUAAGCCCCAGUAAACGGCGGUGGUAACUAUAACCAUCCUAAGGUAGCGAAAUUCCUUGUCGGGUAAGUUCCGACCUGCACGAAUGGCGUAACGACUUCCCUGCUGUCUCAACCACAGGCCCGGUGAAAUUGCAGUACGAGUAAAGAUGCUCGUUACGCGCGGCAGGACGAAAAGACCCCGGGACCUUCACUAUAGCUUGGUAUUGGUGUUUGGUUCGGUUUGUGUAGGAUAGGUGGGAGACUGUGAAGUGGUCACGCUAGUGGUUGUGGAGUCGAAAGUUGAAAUACCACUCUGAUCGGAUUGAGCACCUUAACCUUGGCCCAUGAUCUGGGUUGGGGACAGUGCCUGGUGGGUAGUUUAACUGGGGCGGUUGCCUCCUAAAGUGUAACGGAGGCGCCCAAAGGUUCCCUCAGCCUGGUUGGCAAUCAGGUGGUGAGUGUAAGUGCACAAGGGAGCUUGACUGUGAGACUGACAGGUCGAGCAGGGACGAAAGUCGGGACUAGUGAUCCGGCACCUACUUGUGGAAGUGGUGUCGCUCAACGGAUAAAAGGUACCCCGGGGAUAACAGGCUGAUCUUCCCCAAGAGUCCAUAUCGACGGGAUGGUUUGGCACCUCGAUGUCGGCUCGUCGCAUCCUGGGGCUGGAGUAGGUCCCAAGGGUUGGGCUGUUCGCCCAUUAAAGCGGCACGCGAGCUGGGUUUAGAACGUCGUGAGACAGUUCGGUCUCUAUCCGCCGCGCGCGUUGAAACUUGAAGAAGGCUGUCCCUAGUACGAGAGGACCGGGACGGACGUACCUCUAGUGUGCCAGUUGUCACGCCAGUGGCAGGGCUGGUUGGCUACGUACGGGAGGGAUAACCGCUGAAAGCAUCUAAGCGGGAAGCCUGUUUUGAGAUGAGGUUUCUUUUGAGGUUCCCUCUAGACUAGGGGGUUGAUAGGCCAGAUCUGGAAGCGUAGUAAUGCGUUAAGGUGACUGGUACUAAUUUUACCGAGUAAUAACA
RNAcentral lists this ribosomal RNA (1435 nucleotides) under Corynebacterium diphtheriae. RNAcentral describes it as "bacterial LSU rRNA". It matches the Rfam family "Bacterial large subunit ribosomal RNA", at positions 1495 to 2925 of the family's 2925-position model. Lineage: Bacteria; Bacillati; Actinomycetota; Actinomycetes; Mycobacteriales; Corynebacteriaceae. The record is from RNAcentral.